CCCAUCGUCCAAGAGGCAAACCGAGUGAACAAGAUGUUUCAGAUGGAAAACACAUAUCCAUGCAGGCUUUUCCACGAACUCAUCACGUUCUAUCUGAGCCUGCUACGAAGAGUCACAAAAAUCAGCACCGUGGUCGUGGACAGCUCAUCAAUCAAAUCUACACGCACCAGCAGCAGAGAACAACGUUGCAAAGAAUACCUGCUUGAAUUUGCGAAGCAAAUGAAACAACGUCUGCCUACCAACAUGCAGCAACUCCAGUCUCUCGGGGCCUUGAGUCCAUCUACGGUGCUCAGUGUUCAGAAAACACCCCAGCUAGCAUCUCUGUCAUUUCUCCACCUGUACACAGGAAACCUCGGCAAGCUUGAUCAACAGUGGAGAGUGCUGGACACGCUUCAGUGGGAGAAUACAGAAGACUGCAAAACCGAACAGUUCUGGAUUGAAGUGAAAAAUCACAUAGAUGCGGCCGGUGACAAGGACUUUGCUGAGCUUGGAUCGUUUGCCCUCUCACUUCUGGCAUUGCCAUUCAGCAAAGCAGCUGUGGAACGCAUCUUCUCUGAGAUUAAUUUGAUCAAGACCAAAUUGUUCCAUUUCAAGGAGUUUUUCUCUUUUUUUACUGUAAGGCACCUUCUACAAGUCAAACAGGGAGGAAGAGAGAAAAGGGAAGAGAAACCCUAAAGACAACAGGUUAGUUUGUCAGUCAGUUAAUUGGUCUACACGUUCACAGAUCUAUAUUUUAUUUAUGAUAAUAUACUGUAUCUAAUUACACAAGGCUAUCUUGGGACCUAGGUGAAAAAACUGCUUUUAAUACUGGCGUUACUUUGUAUAUAUUACAAUACAUUUGGCAAUGCUGCUGGACUUUAAAAGCAGUGUAUAUGGUUUGGCAGGGCUUGUUUUAUUGGCCAUUGGGCUGGUUUUGUCACACAGACCUGGCAACCCUGCUCACGUAGGACCACCAAACGUCGUCGUGUUUUGUAUUAAAUAGCAUCCGUAGGCGCAGACAGUUGAAUUUCACCGACUUCUACAGGAACUGCGUCUGGAUCACUGCCGCUUCCGCGGUACAUGCUGCUAGCCGUUAGGCCGUUUGACAAUACAAUUACCCAUAAAAAGGCACAUAUGUUUGUAUGUAAUUUGUGUCUUUCCUGGACCUGUUGCAAUAUAAGUACGGCUCGUACAGCUCGAGUACCGCUAUUUCCAGGUAAUACUUUCGACAAUACGAUAUGUAAUGUAAUUCCUACAUUUACAGCCUGUAAAUUAGUCAGUGAAAGUGAGAAAUUAAAUAUACUAAACGUUAGAUAUCAAAACACCUAUUUUGUAUUUACACAUUGUUCAUUUGUAACUAACCUUAAAUAUUCGUGAAAUAUUUUCUAUGGAUAUAUCAAUUUCCCGCAGCUGGUAGACAUGAGGUUCUCUCCAAACGGUAACCAGUUCAUGCUCCAUGCUAAUGUUCGCUAAAGUUAAACAUUUCUGGACUCCACGCUCUACUAAUGAGCAGUAUGCCUAUAUACUUGACCAUCAACGAAAACCGGUAACGUUUUAAUUUAGCCUAAUGGUAACUUUUUAUUUUGAUCAUCUUAGCUGCUCAGAUCAAACCGAUUUAAUUAUUUAUUUCAUUACAUUCCAAAAAAUCUGAGAUUGACAUUUCAGCAUGUUGAAUUUUGGGUAACGGACAUCAUCAUUCAGUCUAUUCCGGAUAUGAGCACGUGAAUUUGGGAUUACUUUUCAACCACAUUAAUAUUGUACUUUCCUUCAGAGAAGCACAUCGAUAUGGACUCCAGCCUGUUACCCUACUUGGACGUAGAAAGUCAAAUGUUGCAUGGUGGCUAUAGUGACAAGGACAUACAUAACCACUUGGUUUAAGGAUGUGGCUUGAGUCGAGGAGCGUUCAUCAGGAAUAUUCGAAGAUUUUGCAAAGAUCACUGCGAGUGACGGACGAACAACUGGAAGGCGCGGUCUUAAAAUCAGUAAACGAGGUAGGGUACAGUUAAGUUUUCCAUGAACACGUUAAAACAUAAAGAAACUACAUGUGGUAUAAUGAUACUGCUGUAAAUUGUGGUAACUCAUUCAAUUAAGAUCAAUUAAGUUAAAAACGUUAAAUAUUGUAGCUUUCUACAGCACAAUGCAGUAUUAGUCAAAUGACACAAGACUACUGACUGUUUAUUAUACCCUCAAGCCCCUUCACAAGUGUCUUUUUCACCCAAAACCAUUUCAACAUUUUCUGAACACUCCAAAAAUCUAAGAUCAUAAACACACCCUGCAUUCAGAGCCAUAAAGAGUCUGAGAAUUGUUUUUCUACAUGGCAUGUGGACAUAGAUGAUGGGUAAGUGGACGCCAGGUUUGAUAUGUCAAUAGCAAAUAUAGCCACUGUGAAUGGUGAAAAUGUUAUAACAUAGUCUUAUGCUAAGAAUGAUUAUUGUCUGUAUUGAAGAGAUGUGCAAAAGCAGAAAGAUUUAAUAUCUCCAUAUGCAGCUGUGUCUGAAGAUCGAACAAAGGAACUGUGUGUGUUACCCCCAUCUUAACCUUGGUUUGCAACUUUUCGUACCUGCCACUGAGGAUGCCCUUCUCCUGCUCGGAGAUGCCAUUUACACAAUAUUGUGUAUUCAACAUCCUGCUUGCAAGCAAUAGUUAGAGCCAGAUAUCUGCGGAGAAUUGCUCAUGUAAUCUUUUUCUCUUCUAAAUAAAUGUUAACUUUUUGACUUUAAUUGAUCAACGUGCUGCGAUUCUUAUUAUC
Long non-coding RNA from Gasterosteus aculeatus aculeatus (three-spined stickleback), 2728 nucleotides. Lineage: Eukaryota; Metazoa; Chordata; Actinopteri; Perciformes; Gasterosteidae. The record is from Ensembl.